Molecule: non-coding RNA, 1202 nt
Organism: Procambarus clarkii (red swamp crayfish)
Lineage: Eukaryota; Metazoa; Arthropoda; Malacostraca; Decapoda; Cambaridae
Source: RefSeq, a predicted model, not a curated record
CUAACCGGGGCGCUGCGCUCUUAUGGGUCUAUAUCAUUGUAUCUUCUGAUGAAUUAUAAAUUAAACCAAAUAUUAACCAUCCUUGCGUUAGUAAGGUCAGGUUAGGCCAGGCCAGGUUAGUUAGCCAAGGUCAGGAUAGUUUAAGCCAGGUUACAUUAGGCCAGGUUUGGAUUUGCCAUGUUAGGCCAGGCCAGGUUAGUUUAAGUCAGAAUAAAUUAAGCCAGGUUUAGUUACGCCAUGUUAGGUUAGGCCAGGCCAGGUUAGUUUAAGUCAGAAUAAAUUAAGCCAGGUUUAGUUACGCCAUGUUAGGUUAGGCCAGGCCAGGUUAGUUUAAGUCAGAAUAAAUAAGGCCAGGUUUGGUUACGCCAUGUUAGGUUAGGCAAGGCCAGGUUAGUUUAAGCCAGGUUAUAUUAGGUUAAGCCAGGUUACGUCAUGUUAGGCAAGGCCAGGUUAGUUUAGGUCAGGAUAAAUAAGGCCAGGUUUGGUUACGCCAUGUUAGGUUACGCCAGGCCAAGUUAGGCCAGGUUAGUUAAGGACAUAACUUCCUGUCAUACACAAUUUGCUCUCCAAAGACACCCGGGAUAAUUAUUUUCUUAACAGAACUUGUCUUAUACGUCGCUCAUUUAUAUUUUUAAUAUACAUCUUAAUUAACAUUAUGUGGUGUAAAAUGCGUAAUUAGACCUAGGUUUAUUGUAUUUUAAAAAUGACUUCGUUGGACUUACCCGAGAGGCCUCCAUCUCUAUAGUAACCUCGACAGGGACAUGAAGCCGGCGGCUUAUAAUGGUCCCCCUUUAAUUCCUGAUUAUUUUUGUAACUACGACUUAAUAGGAGUAACCCAUCCUCCUAAUAAACCGCCGCAUUUUUAGGUACUACUCUCCCUAAGACCAAAAAUGGUCGUACUAGAAAAUGGUAGCGGCUGGCGAAAUGUACACACUGUCCCGUUUUCUGUUUUAGGUCCUGUGGUAGGUUAGGAUAAGGGCACUUUAGUAGGACAGUUUCUUGACGUUGGUGAACCUUAGGAGGACGGGCUGAAUAUGAGAAUGUAGACCCAUGUUAAUACUAACUGAUGGAAUAGUCGUCAGUGGGACCACGAUGGAGUGUCUAAUUAAACUUUUAGAAUUUGUUUCUUUGAAAUCAAACUGGAAAAAUCUUCAGGUUUAAUGGGGAAUGAAGGAAGGGUUUGACAAGCCUUCGGCUUCCUG